CCCGGAGUCACAGGCGCGCCUCCGCGUCGCGGCCUCCAGGGACUCUCCCAGGAGAGGCCCGCGCGCUCCCGGCCUCAAGGAAGUCUCGCCUGAUGUCUACACCACAUUUUUGGAGAAGCUGUCAACUCUGACAAAGGAGGAAAGUGGAAGCCAGGAGAGCUGCACCUGCAGAAAUUGCUGGAAUCCCAGGGCCAACCCAGCCUGGCUGUCCUUUAAGGCUGCUGCUUCUUCCUUUCUGUUUCUAAGUGACCACAGGUUCCUGCCACACAGUUGGUAAGGGACAGAGCUGGGAUGUAAUCCAGCUCUUACUUAGUGUGGAGUGCUGCUUUCACUAGGAAUCCUUCCAGUGCCUAGAGUCGACAUGAUUUUUGAGACUUGGUUCCAAACCACAUGGCUGGUCCUACUCCUGCUUUCUAGUCUGCUUAUUCUCCCUGAGGUCAGGGCUUCUGUAAAUGGAAGAUUUUUGAGACAAAAGCAUUUAGACAUGAAGCUUACUUGAAAAAGAUCUGCAAGACUGUCUGGCGGUUAGAAGGACAAGAUCAUCAUAGAAGAUACAACAGGAAUUUAAAGGGAAACAUAUUCCACAAAACUACCAACGCUACUGAGAUUACAGUUAGUCUGUGCAUGGUAGAGAAACAGCGAAUUUGUCACAUCCACAAAGGUCCUGACAAAUUUCCAAAAAGCAGCAUCACAGAAGUCUGGGAUCAAGUUGUUUUUGCUUGGGAGUUAGUAACUUACAGGAAAGUUGCAAGAUUCCCUUGAUUUUGCUGACCCCAUUUUAGUUUGUUUCUCUCUGAUAUGAUGUGCUUUUCUCUUUAUGGCGUGAGAUGUUCAUGAUUACCCAUAAAUGAGAUGCUGUUUGUUUCUACAGUUCCACCUAGUGGUCAAGUUUCUGGCCCUAAGGCACACAGUUAACCACAUGGGUUUAUUUUUAUGAUUUUUUUCAAUUCCAUAUUCACUAACUUGAGAUUUUAUUUUAUUUGAUUCAUAGUUUUAUUUACACAGGUGUAGAACAAGGUGAAGAAGAAGGAAAAGAAGCAGCACUCCUUGUGUGUGGUUAACAAAAUUAGAGCCAUAGAUACUAAGACCUAAGAGUUAACCAUUGUCUGGAUGCUCUGUAAAUCUCCUACGCAUACCUGUCUAAAGAAUUUAUUAUUAUCAGCUCAUCUACUGGGAACGGGAACCAAGAACCCGCCAUUCCUCUCUACUUGGUUUUGCCUGCAGGACCUGUAUCUGGAAGGACAUCUUUCUCGAGUUGUCGAUGCCUCGUCUGCUUGUGAUUCUGUGAGUGGACUGGGGAUCAGCUUGGUGGUUCUUCAGCUGAAUGUGAUCUUCCUGGGGCUGCAAUUCUCUCGCCCCUCAACCGGGCUGGGACAUCCAAGAUGGCUCACCCACCUGACAGGAUCCCCUCGCAGGACUGGUUGAGGCUGAGCUGCCUCUGGGCGAAGGCCCUGGGAUUGAGAAGGUUCUAGGGGCUCUAGACCUAGGAACCAGGCCCUGAGGUGGGACAGGAGGGAGACAAAGCAGGAGGCUGGCUCCAGAGGGUUGGGUGGCAGGGACGUCUAGAAAGCUAGGCCAGCUCACAUCUGGGUGGCUGGGAAUUUCUCUCUUUUUCCAUGGAGUCCCGGAUCCCUCUCUCUCCUCUGGCUUCUCCGAGUGCGUUCGUCAGCAGUGUUAGGUGCUGGUACAUCCCGGGAGGCAGCUCAAGGCUCCCGAAGGUGUAAAAGCAGAAUCUGCCAGGGCUGCUGAGGUGUCAGGCUUCUUCCAAACUCCGUCGGUUUAAACAAUCAUGGGCCAACCCAGAUUCAAGAGGGCGGAAGAUAAUUUUUUUGAAGAUUUUAUUUAUUAUUCGAGAGAGAGCAAGAGAGAGCC
Long non-coding RNA from Ailuropoda melanoleuca (giant panda), 1872 nucleotides. RefSeq lists it as uncharacterized. Lineage: Eukaryota; Metazoa; Chordata; Mammalia; Carnivora; Ursidae. The record is from RefSeq and is a predicted model, not a curated record. The transcript is spliced from 4 exons.